UGGGGAAUAUUGGACAAUGGGGGCAACCCUGAUCCAGCGACGCCGCGUGUGUGAAGAAGGCCUGCGGGUUGUAAAGCACUUUUAGUGGGGAUGAAAAGCCAGGGGCUAAUACCCUUUGGUCUUGACCUAACCCAAAGAAAAAGCACCGGCUAACUCUGUGCCAGCAGCCGCGGUAAUACAGAGGGUGCAAGCGUUAAUCGGAAUUACUGGGCGUAAAGCGUGCGUAGUCGGCCAUUCAAGUCGGGUGUGAAAGCCCCGGGCUCAACCUGGGAAUUGCAUUCGAAACUGGGUGGCUAGAGUUCGGCAGAGGGAAGUGGAAUUUCUGGUGUAGCGGUGAAAUGCGUAGAUAUCAGAAGGAACAUCAGUGGCGAAAGCGACUUCCUGGACCAGAACUGACGAUCAGGCACGAAAGCGUGGGGAGCAAACAGG
RNAcentral lists this ribosomal RNA (429 nucleotides) under uncultured prokaryote. RNAcentral describes it as "bacterial SSU rRNA". It matches the Rfam family "Bacterial small subunit ribosomal RNA", at positions 355 to 776 of the family's 1533-position model. RNAcentral also lists the same sequence under 1 other name. The record is from RNAcentral.